RNAcentral lists this ribozyme (66 nucleotides) under Aedes aegypti (yellow fever mosquito). Its description in RNAcentral is "drz-agam-1 ribozyme". It matches the Rfam family "drz-agam-1 ribozyme". The record is from Rfam by way of RNAcentral. Lineage: Eukaryota; Metazoa; Arthropoda; Insecta; Diptera; Culicidae.
UAUUCAGCAACUCCUAUCCCCACCUCCUCGUGGUACUGGCCGGAGUGCGCGUAACCUUAGGGAAGA